GCCGGGCGCGGUGGCUCACGCCUGUAAUCCCAGCACCUUGGGAGGCCGAGGUGGGCGGAUCACUUGAGGCCAGGAGUUCAAGACCAGCCUGGCCAAUAUGGUGAAAUCCCGUCUCUA
This 117-nucleotide non-coding RNA is filed under the name Nomascus leucogenys (northern white-cheeked gibbon). Lineage: Eukaryota; Metazoa; Chordata; Mammalia; Primates; Hylobatidae. The record is from Rfam by way of RNAcentral.